RNAcentral lists this ribosomal RNA (389 nucleotides) under uncultured bacterium. RNAcentral describes it as "bacterial SSU rRNA". It matches the Rfam family "Bacterial small subunit ribosomal RNA", at positions 30 to 419 of the family's 1533-position model. The record is from RNAcentral.
AUUGAACGCUGGCGGCAUGCCUUACACAUGCAAGUCGAACGGCAGCACGGGGGCAACCCUGGUGGCGAGUGGCGAACGGGUGAGUAACAUAUCGGAACAUACCCUAGAGUGGGGAUAACGUAGCGAAAGUUACGCUAAUACCGCAUACGAUCUAAGGAUGAAAGUGGGGGAUCUUCGGACCUCAUGCUCAUGGAGUGGCCGAUAUCUGAUUAGCUAGUUGGUGAGGUAAAGGCUCACCAAGGCGACGAUCAGUAGCUGGUUUGAGAGAACGACCAGCCACACUGGAACUGAGACACGGUCCAGACUCCUACGGGAGGCAGCAGUGGGGAAUUUUGGGACAAUGGGGGCAACCCUGAUCCAGCAAUGCCGCGUGAGUGAAGAAGGCCUUC